UCAUAAUCAAUAUAUAAUAUGGAGAGUACAAGUAAAGAACUUAAAAACCAAAGAAUAUGGCGGUGUUUUAUUUUAUCAGGGGAACCUGUGUCUUAAUUUGAUAGUCCACGGUUAAAUAGCCUAAUUUUGAAAAGUCAGUUUGUGUACUGCCGUAUUAUUUACCUUGAAAAUUAGUUUAUAAAAACUUUUAUAAAAAAAAUCAGGUAAAGUACAGCCUAUAAUUAGGUGUAACAUGGGUUACAUUUAUUUUAGAUUCGGAUAAAUUUAUUUGUAGGAUUUGAUAGUAAUUUUAUAUAGAUUU
This 301-nucleotide ribosomal RNA is filed under the name Oxyptychus sp. AFOF-2012. Its description in RNAcentral is "partial 12S ribosomal RNA". Lineage: Eukaryota; Metazoa; Annelida; Clitellata; Hirudinida; Hirudinidae. The record is from RNAcentral.